CCCUAGUAACUGCGAGUGAAGCGGGAAAAGCUCAAAUUUUAAAUCUGGCAGUCUAUGGCUGUCCGAGUUGUAGUCUGGAGAAGUGCUUUCCGUGCCGGACCGUGUAUAAGUCUCUUGGAAUAGAGCGUCAUAGAGGGUGAGAAUCCCGUCUUUGACACGGACUACCGGUGCUUUGUGAUGCGCUCUCAAAGAGUCGAGUUGUUUGGGAAUGCAGCUCAAAAUGGGUGGUAAAUUCCAUCUAAAGCUAAAUAUUGGCGAGAGACCGAUAGCGAACAAGUACCGUGAGGGAAAGAUGAAAAGCACUUUGGAAAGAGAGUUAAACAGUACGUGAAAUUGCUGAAAGGGAAACGCUUGAAGUCAGUCGCGUUGUGCAGAACUCAACCUAGCUUUUGCUUGGUGCACUUUCUGUAUGACGGGCCAGCAUCGAUUUUGACCGUCGGAAAAGGGUCGAAGGAAUGUGGCACCUCCGGGUGUGUUAUAGCCUUUGGUCGCAUACGGCGGUUGGGAUCGAGGAACGCAGCGUGCCGCAAGGUGGGGCUUCGGCCUACAUUCACGCUUAGGAUGCUGGCAUAAUGGCUUUAAACGACCCGUCUUGAAACACGGACCAAGGAGUCUAACAUGCCUGCGAGUGUUUGGGUGGAAAACCCGAGCGCGUAAUGAAAGUGAAAGUUGAGACCUCUGUCGUGGAGGGCAUCGACGCCCGGACCUGAAGUUUUCUGACGGAUCCGCGGUAGAGCAUGUAUGUUGGGACCCGAAAGAUGGUGAACUAUGCCUGAAUAGGGUGAAGCCAGAGGAAACUCUGGUGGAGGCUCGUAGCGAUUCUGACGUGCAAAUCGAUCGUCAAAUUUGGGUAUAGGGGCGAAAGACUAAUCGAACCAUCUAGUAGCUGGUUCCU
This 895-nucleotide ribosomal RNA is filed under the name Favolus sp. Its description in RNAcentral is "partial large subunit ribosomal RNA". It matches the Rfam family "Eukaryotic large subunit ribosomal RNA", at positions 78 to 959 of the family's 3401-position model. The record is from RNAcentral. Lineage: Eukaryota; Fungi; Basidiomycota; Agaricomycetes; Polyporales; Polyporaceae.